ACGACCUUACUUGAACAGGAUCUGUUCUAUAGUGUCGUACCUCUGUAUCCUUUAGCACAAAGGAGACAGGUUCACAAGUCUGGUUGACGAAUUAUGGCCUUGUGAUCAGAGCGUGAUUAACAGCCUUCCUGGUCCUUUCCCGGACCCAGACAGCAGUAGAGGAUCGUUCUCAGCUAGUGCUCUGGCUGGGAUGGUCACAAGGUUGUCCGACAGACU
This 216-nucleotide small nucleolar RNA is filed under the name Corchorus olitorius. RNAcentral describes it as "Plant small nucleolar RNA U3". It matches the Rfam family "Plant small nucleolar RNA U3". Rfam says of the family: Small nucleolar RNAs (snoRNAs) are involved in the processing and modification of rRNA in the nucleolus. There are two main classes of snoRNAs: the box C/D class, and the box H/ACA class. Lineage: Eukaryota; Viridiplantae; Streptophyta; Magnoliopsida; Malvales; Malvaceae. The record is from Rfam by way of RNAcentral.